AAAGCUUGUCCAAAGAGAGAGUUGCCGAAAAGCCUUAAUUUCAGUAGAGGGUUGUUCUCAAUAGCUAUGCAUUGGACGGAGAACCUGCCUAUAUGUUCAAUUGAGGAAGCAUGGGGGUCCUCCCCGUUGAACAAAGUGAAGUUUGGUACUUUGAAACCCGGAGACAGCGGUAUUUGAUCGAUAUAGGCUGGGUAUGGCUUUCUGUAAGUAGGCCUUUCCCC
Molecule: long non-coding RNA, 221 nt
Filed under: Prunus persica (peach)
Lineage: Eukaryota; Viridiplantae; Streptophyta; Magnoliopsida; Rosales; Rosaceae
Description: long non-coding RNA (PPER_LNC002061)
Source: RNAcentral